Molecule: ribosomal RNA, 438 nt
Filed under: Stenotrophomonas sp. SN3
Lineage: Bacteria; Pseudomonadati; Pseudomonadota; Gammaproteobacteria; Lysobacterales; Lysobacteraceae
Description: bacterial SSU rRNA
Rfam family: Bacterial small subunit ribosomal RNA
Source: RNAcentral
GCCUUGCGCGGAUAGAUGAGCCGAUGUCGGAUUAGCUAGUUGGCGGGGUAAAGGCCCACCAAGGCGACGAUCCGUAGCUGGUCUGAGAGGAUGAUCAGCCACACUGGAACUGAGACACGGUCCAGACUCCUACGGGAGGCAGCAGUGGGGAAUAUUGGACAAUGGGCGCAAGCCUGAUCCAGCCAUACCGCGUGGGUGAAGAAGGCCUUCGGGUUGUAAAGCCCUUUUGUUGGGAAAGAAAAGCAGUCGGCUAAUACCCGGUUGUUCUGACGGUACCCAAAGAAUAAGCACCGGCUAACUUCGUGCCAGCAGCCGCGGUAAUACGAAGGGUGCAAGCGUUACUCGGAAUUACUGGGCGUAAAGCGUGCGUAGGUGGUUGUUUAAGUCUGUUGUGAAAGCCCUGGGCUCAACCUGGGAAUUGCAGUGGAUACUGGGCGA